AGUGGGGAAUCUUCGGCAAUGGGCGCAAGCCUGACCGAGCCAUGCCGCGUGAGCGAUGAAGGCCUUAGGGUUGUAAAGCUCUUUCGCCAGGGAUGAUAAUGACAGUACCUGGUAAAGAAACCCCGGCUAACUCCGUGCCAGCAGCCGCGGUAAUACGGAGGGGGUUAGCGUUGUUCGGAAUUACUGGGCGUAAAGCGCGCGUAGGCGGAUUGGAAAGUUAGAGGUGAAAUCCCGGGGCUCAACCCCGGAACUGCCUUUAAAACUCCCAGUCUUGAGUUCGAGAGAGGUGAGUGGAACUCCGAGUGUAGAGGUGAAAUUCGUAGAUAUUCGGAAGAACACCAGUGGCGAAGGCGGCUCACUGGCUCGAUACUGACGCUGAGGUGCGAAAGUGUGGGGAGCAAA
RNAcentral lists this ribosomal RNA (402 nucleotides) under uncultured Roseovarius sp. RNAcentral's name for it is "bacterial SSU rRNA". It matches the Rfam family "Bacterial small subunit ribosomal RNA", at positions 353 to 772 of the family's 1533-position model. Lineage: Bacteria; Pseudomonadati; Pseudomonadota; Alphaproteobacteria; Rhodobacterales; Roseobacteraceae. The record is from RNAcentral.